GUGGGGAAUCUUCCGCAAUGGACGAAAGUCCGACGGAGCGACGCCGCGUGAGUGAAGAAGGCCUUCGGGUCGUAAAGCUCUGUCAUCAGGGACGAACGGCCGGUGGAGUGGAAAGCCACCGGAUUGACGGUACCUGAGAAGGAAGCCACGGCUAACUACGUGCCAGCAGCCGCGGUAAUACGUAGGUGGCAAGCGUUGUCCGGAAUUAUUGGGCGUAAAGCGCGCGCAGGUGGGAUCUUAAGUCCAUUUUGAAAGUUCGGAGCUCAACUCCGUGAUGGGAUGGAAACUGGGAUUCUUGAGUACCGGAGAGGAAAGCGGAAUUCCCCGUGUAGCGGUGAAAUGCGUAGAUAUGGGGAGGAACACCAGUGGCGAAGGCGGCUUUCUGGACGGUGUCUGACACUGAGGCGCGAAAGCUAGGGGAGCGAACGGGAUUAGAUACCCCAGUAGUCC
Molecule: ribosomal RNA, 450 nt
Filed under: uncultured bacterium
Lineage: Bacteria
Description: partial 16S ribosomal RNA
Rfam family: Bacterial small subunit ribosomal RNA
Source: RNAcentral